This 1492-nucleotide ribosomal RNA is filed under the name metagenome. RNAcentral describes it as "bacterial SSU rRNA". It matches the Rfam family "Bacterial small subunit ribosomal RNA". The record is from RNAcentral.
AGAGUUUGAUCCUGGCUCAGAUUGAACGCUGGCGGCAUGCUUUACACAUGCAAGUCGAACGGUAACGCGGGGGCAACCCUGGCGACGAGUGGCGAACGGGUGAGUAAUACAUCGGAACAUAUCCAGUAGCGGGGGAUAACCUAUCGAAAGAUGGACUAAUACCGCAUACGAUCUACGGAUGAAAGCAGGGGACCGCAAGGCCUUGCACUAUUGGAGUGGCCGAUGUCGGAUUAGCUAGUUGGUGAGGUAAAGGCUUACCAAGGCGACGAUCCGUAGCUGGUCUGAGAGGACGAUCAGCCACACUGGAACUGAGACACGGUCCAGACUCCUACGGGAGGCAGCAGUGGGGAAUUUUGGACAAUGGGCGCAAGCCUGAUCCAGCCAUGCCGCGUGAGUGAAGAAGGCCUUCGGGUUGUAAAGCUCUUUCGGUGAAGACGAAACGGUUCGUGCUAAUAACGCGGACUAAUGACGGUACUCACAGAAGAAGCACCGGCUAACUACGUGCCAGCAGCCGCGGUAAUACGUAGGGUGCAGGCGUUAAUCGGAAUUACUGGGCGUAAAGCGUGCGCAGGCGGUUUGCUAAGACAGGUGUGAAAUCCCCGGGCUUAACCUGGGAAUUGCGCUUGUAACUGGCAAGCUAGAGUGUGGCAGAGGGGGGUAGAAUUCCACGUGUAGCAGUGAAAUGCGUAGAUAUGUGGAGGAAUACCGAUGGCGAAGGCAGCCCCCUGGGUUAACACUGACGCUCAUGCACGAAAGCGUGGGAGCAAACAGGAUUAGAUACCCUGGUAGUCCACGCCCUAAACUAUGUCAACUAGUUGUCGGGGAAGAAAUUCCUUGGUAACGAAGCUAACGCGUGAAGUUGACCGCCUGGGGAGUACGGCCGCAAGGUUAAAACUCAAAGGAAUUGACGGGGACCCGCACAAGCGGUGGAUUAUGUGGAUUAAUUCGAUGCAACGCGAAAAACCUUACCUACCCUUGACAUGCUAGGAAGCCCGCAGAGAUGUGGGUGUGCCCGAAAGGGAACCUAGACACAGGUGCUGCAUGGCUGUCGUCAGCUCGUGUCGUGAGAUGUUGGGUUAAGUCCCGCAACGAGCGCAACCCUUGCCAUUAGUUGCUACAUUCAGUUGGGCACUCUAAUGGGACCGCCGGUGACAAACCGGAGGAAGGUGGGGAUGACGUCAAGUCCUCAUGGCCCUUAUGGGUAGGGCUUCACACGUAAUACAAUGGUCGGUACAGAGGGCUGCCAACCCGCAAGGGGGAGCUAAUCCCAGAAAGCCGAUCGUAGUCCGGAUUGUAGUCUGCAACUCGACUGCAUGAAGCCGGAAUCGCUAGUAAUCGCGGAUCAGCAUGUCGCGGUGAAUACGUUCCGGGGUCUUGUACACACCGCCCGUCACACCAUGGGAGUGGGUUCCACCAGAAGUAGUUAGCCUAACCGCAAGGAGGGCGAUUACCACGGUGAGAUUCAUGACUGGGGUGAAGUCGUAACAAGGUA